AUUAAACUGUUACAUGCUUAGAAGUAGAUGUUGGACAAGGAAGACAACAUAAUGAAUUAUGUUUGCUUGGUUCCGAACAAUGUUAUAUGACUAGAUAUCCCUUAGCAUGUGACGCUUGCUUCCACCUCAUAUCAGCCAAAACUUCCGCACUGAGUAGAGAUACUACUUGUGCAUCCAUAAACCUUCAACCCAGUUUUGCCAUGAGAGUCCACCAUACCUACCUAUGGAUUGAAGAAGAUCCUUCAAGUAAGUUGUCAUCGGUGCAAGCAAUAAAAAUUGCUCCCUAAAUAUGUAUGAUCUAUUAGUGUGUGG
This 312-nucleotide long non-coding RNA is filed under the name Hordeum vulgare. RNAcentral's name for it is "long non-coding RNA (HVUL_LNC020309)". The record is from RNAcentral. Lineage: Eukaryota; Viridiplantae; Streptophyta; Magnoliopsida; Poales; Poaceae.